CAAACGACUCUCGGCAACGGAUAUCUCGGCUCUCGCAUCGAUGAAGAACGUAGCGAAAUGCGAUACUUGGUGUGAAUUGCAGAAUCCCGUGAACCAUCGAGUCUUUGAACGCAAGUUGCGCCCGAAGCCGUCAGGCCGAGGGCACGUCUGCCUGGGYGUCACGC
This 164-nucleotide ribosomal RNA is filed under the name Tiquilia nuttallii. RNAcentral describes it as "5.8S ribosomal RNA". It matches the Rfam family "5.8S ribosomal RNA". From Rfam's summary of the family: 5.8S ribosomal RNA (5.8S rRNA) is a component of the large subunit of the eukaryotic ribosome. It is transcribed by RNA polymerase I as part of the 45S precursor that also contains 18S and 28S rRNA. The record is from RNAcentral. Lineage: Eukaryota; Viridiplantae; Streptophyta; Magnoliopsida; Boraginales; Ehretiaceae.